Molecule: ribosomal RNA, 377 nt
Filed under: uncultured organism
Description: partial 16S ribosomal RNA
Rfam family: Bacterial small subunit ribosomal RNA
Source: RNAcentral
GUAGGUGGCAAGCGUUGUCCGGAAUUAUUGGGCGUAAAGCGCGCGCAGGCGGUUUCUUUUAAGUCUGAUGUGAAAGCCCACGGGCUCAACCGGUGGAGGGGUCAUUGGAAACUGGAGAACUUGAGUACAGAAGAGGAAAGCGGAAUUCCACGUGUAGCGGUGAAAUGCGUAGAGAUGUGGAGGAACACCAGUGGCGAAGGCGGCUCUCUGGUCUGUAACUGACGCUGAGGCGCGAAAGCGUGGGGAGCAAACAGGAUUAGAUACCCUGGUAGUCCACGCCGUAAACGAUGAGUGCUAAGUGUUAGGGGGUUUCCGCCCCUUAGUGCUGCAGCUAACGCAUUAAGCACUCCGCCUGGGGAGUACGGCCGCAAAGGCUG